This 430-nucleotide ribosomal RNA is filed under the name uncultured Acidobacteriota bacterium. RNAcentral's name for it is "bacterial SSU rRNA". It matches the Rfam family "Bacterial small subunit ribosomal RNA", at positions 1 to 438 of the family's 1533-position model. Lineage: Bacteria; Pseudomonadati; Acidobacteriota. The record is from RNAcentral.
UAGAGUUUGAUCCUGGCUCAGAAUCAACGCUGGCGGCGUGCCUAACACAUGCAAGUCGAACGAGAAAGUCCCGCAAGGGAUGAGUACAGUGGCGCACGGGUGGGUAACACGUGACUAACCUACCUUCGAGUGGGGAAUAACCUCGGGAAACCGGGGCUAAUACCGCAUAACAUCAUCGGGUGAAAUUCCUGCUGAUCAAAAGUUUUUUGCUUGAAGAGGGGGUCGCGGCUGAUUAGCUAGUUGGUGAGGUGAUGGCUCACCAAGGCGAUGAUCAGUAGCCGGCCUGAGAGGGCGCACGGCCACACUGGAACUGAAACACGGUCCAGACUCCUACGGGAGGCAGCAGUGGGGAAUUUUGCGCAAUGGGGGAAACCCUGACGCAGCAACGCCGCGUGGAGGAUGAAGUCCUUUGGGACGAAAACUCCUUUCG